UCGAGAAUUUUUCACAAUGGGGGAAACCCUGAUGGAGUGACGCCGCGUGGAGGAUGAAGGCCUUCGGGUCGUAAACUCCUGUCACUACAGAACAAGAAUUAUGAGGUAAACAAUCUCAUGAUUUUGAUGGUAUGUGGAGAGGAAGAGACGGCUAACUCUGUGCCAGCAGCCGCGGUGAUACAGAGGUCUCAAGCGUUGUUCGGAUUCACUGGGCGUAAAGGGUGCGUAGGGGGUUUGAUAAGUCAGAUGUGAAAGCUUGUCGCUUAACGAUAAGAUUGCAUUCGAUACUAUCAGGCUAGAGGACUGGAUGGGAGAGCGGAAUUCUUGGUGUAGCGGUGAAAUGCGUAGAUAUCAAGAGGAACGCCGAUGGCGAAAGCAGCUCUCUGGAAAGUUCCUGACC
RNAcentral lists this ribosomal RNA (400 nucleotides) under uncultured bacterium. Its description in RNAcentral is "bacterial SSU rRNA". It matches the Rfam family "Bacterial small subunit ribosomal RNA", at positions 355 to 745 of the family's 1533-position model. The record is from RNAcentral.